This is a long non-coding RNA of Gasterosteus aculeatus aculeatus (three-spined stickleback), 2936 nucleotides long. The record is from Ensembl. Lineage: Eukaryota; Metazoa; Chordata; Actinopteri; Perciformes; Gasterosteidae.
GUUGGAUGGAAAAACCAGAGCGUUGCGAGUGGGCCUCAGAGGUGCAGAGGUGUGAGCGCUUAACGUGCCCACAGAAGAGGGAGGAAGACGGCCUGCCAGCAUGAGGUCCGUGCACCAGCAUGACGACAAGUGAGGACAGCGAGAGGGGUCGGAGGUCAAAGGGUGCACCUAUCCAAGGGGGGAGUGCGGCGGCAUGGUUUCAUCACAUCAUCAUCAUCAAAAGUUCAUGUUGCAGAGGAGAACCAUUGGAGAUGAAUACAGUUUAACAUCAGAUGAAUGUAGUGAGCAACCAACAUUGGCUGGACACAAAGCCCCUGUUGCCUGUGGAGCCCGUGGAGAAGUCGCUCUCCUUGGCUGGAGUCUGGGGAAGCAUCGGCCCCCGGCUCUCCCGACAACCGGCUUGAACGCGACCGACGGGGCCCUCCUCUUCCUCCUCUUCCUCCUUCUCCUGGUCGAGGACCUCGGAGACUAGCGGCUCCCUCAGCUCAGAUGUCACCUCCGUCUCGUCCCCGGAGAUGGAGGUGGUGUGUCGGCACACGAUUUAGUCUUAAUCUUCAGCUAAAUGUUUAUUGAACAGACAGAGUCGAGUGAAACCCAUCCUGUGUGCUUUUCACAGACGGGCUUUUUUGAUUUGGACACUUUCUCAAAGUGGGAAAUGUGUUACUAAAAACUCACAGCUUCUGUUGAACUUUGGAUCCUAAAGCAGGAAAAUUCUGCUGGUAUUUAUCUUUUGUUAUUUACCAAAUGUUGAACUUCCAAGGCCGCUUUAAAGAGGUGGAAAUAUUUUGAAUUUGGUGGUUGUAAAACGUUCCUAAACCACAUGACCAUUACAUUCUCAUUACGUGUGUCUGGUCUAUUCCUCUUAAUAACUUCUGGCUUAAAGAACUCUCCCAAAUGUCUGCACGCACCAGGCUCAAAGUAACCUCAGGGGAACUCAUUUUACCCCAUUAAUCUGUUUCAAAUGUUAAAGCUAAUUUAAUAGCUAUGUUUUGUUUAUGCGGUUCAGUCAGGCUGAAAAUUGCAGAGUGGGCGUCUGUACGGGACAAAGAAAUCAUUCGGUCGGAUUUGUCCGUCAAUAAUUCACUUGCGACACAUUGUGUCCCUUAUUUACCCUUGUUUGUAGCCAUCGACACCUACUAGCCUGCACAAUGUGGAGAUAAUGUUCUUCUUUUUAAGUAUUGACUUAAACGACUGACUUUUGAGGCACAGAAACAAAAGGAUGGAGAUAAUCGCACCCUGAUUCCCACCUCGUGUGAAGCAUAACAACAUCAAACGCAAGUAGUCAGUCGACUCUGAACCUGUCCUAUUCUGUCUUCUGUGUCCUGGUUACCUUCACAUCACCGAGGGGUUUAAUUACCCCUGAGCAAAGCACAGGGACGGGCGGGGCUGGGUGGGGCGGGGAGGACGAGCUCCAUCAGGUUGGAUGGAAAAACCAGAGCGUUGCGAGUGGGCCUCAGAGGUGCAGAGGUGUGAGCGCUUAACGUGCCCAGAGAAGAGGGAGGAAGACGCGCUGCCAGCAUGAGGUUCGUGCACCAGCAUGACGACAAGUGAGGACAGCGAGAGGGGUCGGAGGUCAAAGGGUGCACCGAUCCAAGGGGAGAGUGCGGCGGGUAAGUGGCUCUCUUAUCUGCUUCUGAGGUGUAAAGACGGAUCGCUGCCAGCUGCCCGUCAGGAUCAUCUCGCCAAACCCGAUGGCCGACGCCGCCGAGCUCGUUUAUUCACAGCACUGGUUUCAACAGGUUGUCGUUGUGCCGGUUGCUCACCCUGCACAUCCGUUCGUUCAUAUUUAAAUACACUCACAGUACACUUGUGUAUAGUACCGGUUUUGCCUAUGCACUUUAUUGUUUUAACUUUGUAUUCGUUAAAUAUUUUAUAUUCUUUUGAAAAACUAUAAAUUCAAUAUAUUCAUGCUCCAUUUUUCAUAUUCAUAUUCAUAUUUCUUGCACUGUGUUAAUUUGGCUUAUUGCCCAUAGACCAUCCAUCCUGACAAACUCGUUUGGGACAUAAUUGGCAAUAAAUAGUUCUGAUUCUGAUUACGUACAAGUGAUUUUUUUGGAGGUAACAAAACAUUCUGAUUGUCCUUUUGUAAAUUAUAUUCGAGCUCCUGCGUUUGAGCCGAUUCUGUCGUGUAUCAAUUCAAAGGAGACCCCCCGUCUGCUUAGCAACGAUCCCCCAAUGAGGGAUCUUGGCUUGUUGUUCCAUGCGACAAACCAAAACAAAAAAAGAAGAGGGGUUGGUACAGUAAAACAAGUCUUAAGAAUAAAUUAACGGGAAAUGUUUUCCUAAUCUGUCUAGAAAAACUGAACAUUAAAAUCAAACGCAGUUUGCGGAUUUUUUCUGUUGCCUUUCAAAAAGGUUACCUUUUCCAGUUGUUUCCAGUCCUAAUGCUAAGCUAAGCUAACCAGCUGCUGGCUGAGAGGCAUCCAUCUUUUUUUACCAAACUCUUUGUCUACCAGGCUCAGCAGCUCGCAAUGGUUUAAUGUCCUCAUUUCAAGUGUUCUUUCCGUGUUAAACGGCCACUGGCACAACUUUUUAUUUUUGUGUUGAAUGAAUUUUUGUGGGAUCAUAUUUCACAUAUAUGCUACUCACUAUAGUCAUUCAUAUGUGCCACUUACUCAAGUGUUUUUCUGACCCUUCAUGUCUAGUAAACACGCGUUUCAAAGUCCAUGCUGUCUGUUUAUAUCACAUGCAUAAUAUAGGCCGAGUUCAAUUUCACCAUUAGCUUUAUCUUCUCUAACAUAAAACAGUUUUGUUCCCUAUAUGCAAGUGAAGAAAAGUGGACCUACCGAUACCCUCAGUGACUCAUUACUUCCUUUUACAGCUUCUCUUUUUCUUCUCAUUCCCAUAUUUCCUUGAUAGGGCUCGAGUGAGCAGGCCAGCACACACUCCAGCCAUCUACUGAGCAGACAGUAGAUGGCUGUGUGGUUAAAAGGAAC